GAAAGUAUAGCUCAAUGGCAGAGCAUGCACGUGCUCAGCUUACACGAGGUCCUGGGUUCAAUCCCCAGUACUUCCA
This 76-nucleotide transfer RNA is filed under the name Camelus bactrianus (Bactrian camel). It matches the Rfam family "tRNA". From Rfam's summary of the family: Transfer RNA (tRNA) molecules are approximately 80 nucleotides in length. The record is from Rfam by way of RNAcentral. Lineage: Eukaryota; Metazoa; Chordata; Mammalia; Artiodactyla; Camelidae. RNAcentral also lists the same sequence under 1 other name.